Sus scrofa (pig) is the source of this 78-nucleotide non-coding RNA. RefSeq annotates it as microRNA mir-187. NCBI's taxonomy places the organism in Eukaryota, Metazoa, Chordata, Mammalia, Artiodactyla, Suidae. The record is from RefSeq and is marked provisional.
UGAGACCUCGGGCUACAACACGGGACUCGGGUGCUGCUCUGACCCCUCGUGUCUUGUGUUGCAGCCGGAGGGACGCAG